AGUGAGCGGCACGCUCAAUUUGAAUCUGGUUUUUUGGGGUCCGAGUUGUAAUUUGUAGAGGAUGUUUCGGGCMCGCUCCGGUUUAAAUUUCUUGGAACAGAAUGUCAAAGAGGGUGAGAACCCCGUCUUGGACCGGCAGUAGGGCCCAUGUGAAACUCCUUCGACGAGUCGAGUUGUUUGGGAAUGCAGCUCAAAAUGGGUGGUAAAUUUCAUCUAAAGCUAAAUAUUGGCCAGAGACCGAUAGCGCACAAGUAGAGUGAUCGAAAGAUGAAAAGCACUUUGAAAAGAGAGUUAAACAGUACGUGAAAUUGUUGAAAGGGAAGCGCUUGCAACCAGACUUGCGCGCGGCGGUUCCCCCUUCCUUUUGGUUGGGUUAUUCCGCCGUGUCCAGGCCAACAUCGGUUCUGGGGGUCGGUUAAAGGCCUGGGGAAUGUAUCUACCCUUCGGGCGUAGACUUAUAGCCCCGGGUGUCAUGCGACCUCCCGGGACCGAGGAACGCGCUUCGGCUCGGAUGUUGGCGUAAUGGUUGUCAGCGACCCGUCUUGAAACACGGACCAAGGAGUCUAACAUCUAUGCGAGUGUUUGGGUGUCAAACCCGGAACGCGGAAUGAAAGUGAACGGAGGUAGGAAGCUUCGGCUGCACUAUCGACCGAUCCUGAUGUCUUCGGAUGGAUUUGAGUAAGAGCAUAGCUGUUGGGACCCGAAAGAUGGUGAACUAUGCCUGAAUAGGGUGAAGCCAGAGGAAACUCUGGUGGAGGCUCGCAGCGGUUCUGACGUGCAAAUCGAUCGUCAAAUUUGGGUAUAGGGGCGAAAGACUAAUCGAACCAUUAAAAAGUUACCGGUGGUUAAGUGUAACCGUGAAAGCGGUUGCAAGUGCCAGKUYYKGGCGCGACACYGUCMAMUUGCGGGGACYCCCUAAAGCUUCCGACGACYSGCCUCSCCCMCGAAAGUGGGAGUGAGGCACCAGGUU
RNAcentral lists this ribosomal RNA (970 nucleotides) under Exophiala phaeomuriformis. RNAcentral's name for it is "LSU rRNA". It matches the Rfam family "Eukaryotic large subunit ribosomal RNA", at positions 92 to 1194 of the family's 3401-position model. Lineage: Eukaryota; Fungi; Ascomycota; Eurotiomycetes; Chaetothyriales; Herpotrichiellaceae. The record is from RNAcentral.